CCCGACCUCAGAUCGAG
RNAcentral lists this ribosomal RNA (17 nucleotides) under Darevskia valentini. RNAcentral describes it as "partial 28S ribosomal RNA". Lineage: Eukaryota; Metazoa; Chordata; Lepidosauria; Squamata; Lacertidae. RNAcentral also lists the same sequence under 1 other name. The record is from RNAcentral.